RNAcentral lists this ribosomal RNA (116 nucleotides) under candidate division WOR-1 bacterium RIFOXYA12_FULL_36_13. RNAcentral also lists the same sequence under 2 other names. Lineage: Bacteria; Bacillati. The record is from RNAcentral.
CCUGGUAGCCAUGCCGAGGAGGCCACACCCGUUCCCAUUCCGAACACGGUCGUUAAGCUCCUCAGGGUCGAUGGUACUUGCCCUUUCAGGGUUGGGAGAGUAGAACGCUGCCGGGU